Molecule: ribosomal RNA, 119 nt
Filed under: Pteropus alecto (black flying fox)
Lineage: Eukaryota; Metazoa; Chordata; Mammalia; Chiroptera; Pteropodidae
Source: RNAcentral
GUCUACAGCCAUGCCACCCUGAACAAGCCCGAUCCCAUUUGAUCUCGGAAGCUAAGCAAGGUCGGUCCUGGUUAGUAUUUGGAUGGGAGACCACCUAGGAAGACUAGGUGCUGUAGGCA